AAGUUUCUCGCCUUGAUCACCUUUUUCGUUUACCAAUAUAAAGAGACGUAGGACGUCUCAGCGAGUUUCUUAAGAGUGCGUAGCACAGAGUCAGAGAGCUAAGAAGCGAAGAUUGAUAAUAAAGAGAUCCAAUGAAGAAAUCAAAGUGCCUCUCCAAACUGCUUCUCUUUCCUACGAUCGCGACCCCAAUGACUUUAUUCCUUAGGCUCGACCUGGCUCAUGCCGACUCAUGGCGCAUCAGCAGCAGCAGCAACAUCAGUUAUGUGAAAGAUCUUAUGGAGACCAGUUUCUCCAUUGAUCCUAUCACAGUCUCUCUGGCUGAAACGAUUAAGCCAAACACUGAUACGUAUCCUUCGGGUGAUCCAAAUAAUAAUCCUGGUUGUCCUCAAAACAUACGAUAUACGACUAGCAGCGUCCCUCCGAAAAGUCCUCCGUCAACUAAACAACCUUGUGGCGACUUUACCAAAGGUUGCCACGGAUGAAGAUCAUAAUGAUAUAGCAUGUUCGCGCGCGCGCACUGAGAGAGUUUGUAUUGAUUAUAUAUCUGGAUUUAUCUGCUUAAUUGGAGUCAUGUUAUUAUUAUCACUGUGUGUGUGUUUUCAUCUUAACAAUGUGUAGAAAGUCUAAAUCAGA
Long non-coding RNA from Prosopis cineraria, 633 nucleotides. RefSeq lists it as uncharacterized. Lineage: Eukaryota; Viridiplantae; Streptophyta; Magnoliopsida; Fabales; Fabaceae. The record is from RefSeq and is a predicted model, not a curated record. The transcript has 2 exons.